This 1014-nucleotide ribosomal RNA is filed under the name Ecytonucleospora hepatopenaei. RNAcentral's name for it is "SSU rRNA". It matches the Rfam family "Microsporidia small subunit ribosomal RNA", at positions 86 to 1109 of the family's 1311-position model. Lineage: Eukaryota; Fungi; Microsporidia; Enterocytozoonidae. The record is from RNAcentral.
GCUCAGUAAUGUUGCGCUGAUUUGCUCUAUGCGGGAAGAAUAACCACGGUAACCUGUGGCUAAGAGUGUAGAAUAAGGUGCAAUCCUAUUAGUUUGUUGGUAGUGUAAAGGACUACCAAGGCAGUGAUGGGUAACGGGAAAUCAGGGUUUGAUUCCGGAGAGGGAGCCUGAGAGAUGGCUCCCACGUCCAAGGAUGGCAGCAGGCGCGAAAAUUGUCCACUCUUUUGAGAGGAGACAGUUAUGAAACGUGAGUAGAAGGGUCGAGUGUAAAAACCUUGACGUGAAGCAAUUGGAGGGCAAGUUUUGGUGCCAGCAGCCGCGGUAAUUCCAACUCCAAGAGUGUCUAUGGUGGAUGCUGCAGUUAAAGGGUCCGUAGUCGUAGAUGCAAUUAAAAGGUGGUGUUAAAAGCCAUUGAGUUUGUUGAGAGUAGCGGAACGGAUAGGGAGCAUGGUAUAGGUGGGCAAAGAAUGAAAUCUCAAGACCCCACCUGGACCAACGGAGGCGAAAGCGAUGCUCUUAGACGUAUCUGGGGAUCAAGGACGAAGGCUAGAGUAUCGAAAGUGAUUAGACACCGCUGUAGUUCUAGCAGUAAACUAUGCCGACAAUGCUGGGUGUUGCGAGAGCGAUGCUUGGUGUGGGAGAAAUCUUAGUUUUCGGGCUCUGGGGAUAGUACGCUCGCAAGGGUGAAACUUAAAGCGAAAUUGACGGAAGGACACUACCAGGAGUGGAUUGUGCUGCUUAAUUUAACUCAACGCGGGAAAACUUACCAGGGUCAAGUCUAUCGUAGAUUGGAGACAUGAGGUAGACAAGAGUGGUGCAUGGCCGUUGGAAAUUGAUGGGGCGACUUUUAGCUUAAGUGCUGGAACCAGUGAGAUCUUCUAGACAGGUGUUAUUUAGGCACAGGAGGGAGAAGGCAAUAACAGGUCCGUGAUGCCCUUAGAUAUCCUGGGCAGCAAGCGCAAUACAAUAUCUCUUGAGAAGACAAAGCAAUUUGAGAUGAGUAGGAUUAGCUUU